Molecule: non-coding RNA, 7177 nt
Organism: Microcebus murinus (gray mouse lemur)
Lineage: Eukaryota; Metazoa; Chordata; Mammalia; Primates; Cheirogaleidae
Source: RefSeq, a predicted model, not a curated record
GCGCGGCUGCGAGCCCAGGCGUCGCCGCAGCGGUCGGGAGCCGCUACCUGUCCCACCCAGGGACUCAAUCCACCUGAGACCUGAGGCGGGGGCGGGGAGGCCCCGAGCGCCCUGCGCCGUCUCGUCUGCGGCCGGCGGCCAGAAGAUGGGCUUCGGAAGUAGGAAGGGAGGACCAGAGGGACAGGGUGUGAAGGAAGCCGUUCCCGCGUGUCCCUCUCCUCGCGCCGGGGCUGCCGCCUGUCCUUCGGCUCAGAGCCCAGGCUUCCUCCCGGCCGCUGCGGGCGCCCUCAGCACGACUGUGCGUUACGCUCCCGAAGCGCUUUAAAGUGCGCGGUCCGCCAGCUUUGCCUACUGAUCUUCGAGCCGCCCUUUGAAGGAAGCAAUUGCAGAUUUGGACUGCCCUUCCCUGGCCCAGCUCUGCAGCCACCCACAGUUCUUUCUCAUGACGAGGACGUCCCCACACUCGUCCUCAGAUGGCAGGAAGAUCUCAGCCUGGCUUGCCACGUACUCUUGCACUGGGCCACGCUGGUGGAGCCGUCAAAGUCAGUGCUUGUGUUUCCUGGACAGCGGGUGCAGAAGUUCUGUCGGAAGUCAGGCUGAUAGGACCCCAUGGCGCAGCGGAUACAGCGGUGGAUGCUGGACCCCAACUGCCCCCAUUGAAACUGCAAUUGCAACUUUGGCCAGCAGAGGACACUGCCCACCUGUGCAAUCUUUGCCGUUCCAGUGCAGCCGGCCCUGACCUGCUGGGCAGGUACACUGGUAGCUGCCUGGUGUGUUGAUACAGCCAAAGCGGCAACCUCCCCGGUUGAUGCUGCAUUCAUCCACAUCUAAGGAUGGCGAUAAGCUGGCUGUUUUGUUGUUUUACUUUGCUAAUGGGAAGAUAUUGUAUAGGUGAGGGGAGGAGGCAAAAGAAGAAAAAUCCAGAGAAGGAAGGAGAUGAAAAGAAGAGUAAACCAAGAUCAGAGAGGAAAGCAGCUUGCCUGAGGUCAUACAGUUAGAAGUGGCAGAGCCAGGAUUCAAACUCGGGUCUGUCUGAAUGCAAAUGCCAUGCUCAUAACCAUUAUGGGGGAGAGAAUGAAAGCAAGAGUGUGGAUUCGUUCCGAGGAAGGCUGGGGGAGAAGGCCUUGAGAUCCUUUGCAUGGCAUGAGGGAUGACCGCUGAGAUGGAAGCACGUAGAUCAUGGGAAUGGUAUGGAGGCUGCAGAAAGGUUGGGUCAGACGAUCUCCUAGGUCCCUUCCAGCCCUGUCACUCUAAGACUCCCCUCUCUUUCAUUCCACUGGCAAACCCCUCCCCUUGUAGCAGCUUUGCCUGCUGCUACCAAUUAUGUGUAGGGCUGGAGGACAAGUGCAAACUUGCUAUCCUCUUUGCCCCAAACAAGAGAGUGGUUAAAAGAAAGAAAGGAAGAAAGAGAGAAUUGGAGGUUGCCAGAAGGUGCCUGUGAUCUACAUGGGGCACGGGGAGAGAGCUGGGGAGCUCCCCAUGGCUGGGAGGGGAGAUUAAGCUCUGCCUUGGUUUGCUCUGUCUCUGGCUUCCUUGGACCUUGCACCUCUGGGUCUCUGGGGAGAGGCGGGGAGGGGCUCCAGCCCACCUCCUACCCGUCAGCUGAGGUGGGCAUGGAAGGUUCUAUAGGAGCAGGUUAUCUGGGACCAUCUCUCCAGUGUGAUUUUCUGGUCCCCUGAAUGGCCAUUGCCCUGGCUUUCAGGGAGGGAGGCUCAGGUGGGUUGCCCUACCUAAGCCACUGUGUCUCUGAAGACUAGGGAUCUUUUUAUUUCGUCCUACCAGUUUUCCUCUGAUCAUUUCCUUUUCUUCUCUAGGAUGAGGUGAGCUCCUCCUCCACAUCUGGGCAGAAGAGGCAGUUGCCGGCUCUCCCCCCCCCCAAAAUCUGGUUCCAGCCCACUCCUCCCUUCAGAGGAUUCUAUGGGAGUAGAAGCAGGGCUUGUAUCACUGGGGCACUGUGAAUUGGGGUGCUGGUCACAUUGCCCUCUGUCCCAUGCACUUCUGCAGGGACUUAGUUGGCCAGUAAUUCAGGUGGAUGACAAGGAAGGGACAGUGAACAGUAGCAUCUGCCAUAUCAUAACCAACAGGGGCAAAGCGCCCAGUGUCUCUGGACCUCCCACAUUCAUCUCUCAGGCUGCAGUUUGCUUCACUUUCCUUCAGGGGUGCUUCCGACAUUCAUUUCACUCUAAUUCCUCCUGUUUGGGGAGAAGACUGGAGGAGCGGGCCCGUAGCUGAUAGAUCUCAGUUCAGGUCCUGCUCAGGGAUACGUCUGCCAGGCCCCACCACACCCAGGGACUUCCCCUCUCCUGCCAAAUCUCCUAUAAGCUCUGCUUUUUCUCUCUGCGCUCAGCUUCCCAAUAUGUAAAUCAAGGCCAAUGACCCUAGCUUGACAGACAGGCAUAGACUACUGGAGAGCAUGUACCAGCUGCAGCAAGACUGCCCCAGGGUCAGUGUUGGGCCCUACCAUUUCCCAGACACCUAUCUACUCUUGAUGAGUUAUUUCACUUCUAGGAGCCUCAGCUUCUUCAUCUGGAAAAUGGGUAUGGUCAUUUGACUCAAAUGUGAUAUGACUCAGUGUCUACCUGUAUGGGCUCUAUCUAAACAAACCUGUGGGUCAAAUCUCAGCUCUGUUACUUUCUACCUGUGUGACUUCAGGCAAGUUACUCAACCUUAGUGAACUUCAGUUUCCUCAUCUGACAAAGUGGAUGAAAACCUACAGGUUAUGGUGUUAAUUAAAUGAGAUAAUGUAUAGAAAACACCUAGCACAUAGUAGAAACUCAGCGGGGGAGGUAAUUGUAGUUGCUUCGCAGAAGGAACAAAGACCACAGCUUUGACGGUAGAGGUACAGUAGUGCUUGGGAGGAAGCAGCUUUGCCCUGGAUCAGGCUUUGACGCUGCUGGGUGUAUGUGACCCCAAUGGGGUCAAAUCUCACUACCCCUAACAGGUUCCUGUCUGUCACACAUUCUUGCUGAAAAGGUUUCAAAAAUUCCAUGCAUUCCAGCACACUGCCCUUGUCAGCAGCACUUCCAUUUGUACUGCCUUGCAUCUUCUAAUCUGCCUUAGGAAGGUAUAGACACUCUGAGACACAAAUUAGAGCUCAUAGGUACCACGUGCCAGGCACUGUACCGGGCACUUCACCACAAGCCUAUGCGGCAAGACUUGUUAUCCCUAUUUUAUUGAUGGGAAAACAGGCUCAGGUAGAUUAACUUGCCCAGAAUGACAGACUAAGAAGGGACAAAGCCAGCACUCAGGCCCAGUCCUGACUCUGAAGCUUGUAUACCUCUUCUGCUGUCUAUACUGCCACCUCUGAAUCCACAGAAUCACAACACAUCCUUACCACUCAUAAAGCCUGAUCAUGUGCGGCAGGCCAAAGGUCGCUGAGCAGCUCCUUCACGUACAGGGCACUAGCCUUGCUCUGGAGGAUCAUGCAGCAGUAGAACUGCAGAAGACUGUAGCUAUCACCUCUGUGUGAUGAUGAGAGAUCACGCGACUUGCCCAAGGGCACACAGCAUAUUUAAGAGGCAAAGCUAGAAGCAAAAUCCAUGUCUCCCCUGGCUCUGACUUCCAGAUCAGUACUCCCUAGCCCAUAUCCUAGAGCUGUCAGGACCCCCUUCUGCUUCUUGCUCUUUCUCUUCAUGAUGAUUUGACCAGUCAUCAAUCCUUCCACCAGGUGACAUGUGGUACUUAUCUCAUACCUUCCCUGCCACUGUCCUAUGCCCUCUAGGAGAUGCAAAAGAAAUAGGAAAUGUGACUCCGCUGGUGGAGGUACAGUACCAGUGUAUGGUUCUGGACCCUUCCAUAUCACAAGGCAAACCCUCCAGAUGAAAUGCGUCUUAGCAGGUAGGCAAGGUUUACAGAACAUCUGAAUGCAUGACAUUCAGAAUGUGACAUUGAAGGCCCAGAGAGAAAGUGCCAUAGAAAGUCAGAGGAAACAGAAGCCAGUCAUCCAAGAAAGCUUCAUGGAUGAGGGGUGAUUUGGGCUGAAGCUCAACGACUCUUAAACAGAGAGAAAUAUAAAGACAGAAACAUAAACAAAAUCAGUGAUUGACAGAGGGAGAGAAAAUGAGAAUACUCAGAAUGACAGCAGAAGAAAUAAAGGAGGGAGGGAGGGGAUCUUGCUGGGUGGAUGGACAGGUUGACCCUGGUCAGUCCUUGUUUCACACUGUUCAUGAUGGCUCGGGCGUCAUUUUGACUUUUAUAGGCGGAAGAUCAGAAGUAACCCUCUCUCAAAGGCUGUUUCAGCCCCAGGAUUCUAGGAGUACCUUGCUCCAAGACCUUUUGGUCUUGCCCUCACAGACAGGUCCACAGGCAGCCCUCUGGGACUUGGGGAGAGGUAACCCAGUCCGAGCUGCCCACACCUGUUCCAACCUUCUCUGGCCACUCUGACCACCUCUUGAUUAGCUCCCCGGGCCCCUCACCCUGUGUCAGCCACCCCUCCUCCCUCCUCCCACCCCUACACCUGAGUCACUUUGCCAUCUGCUUCUUCCAGACAGCCCUGGCCCCUUCCACAGAGCUGCCUGUCCAAACUCCGCUUCCUCCAGACGGCCCCAGCCCCCGGGCUUCUCCGGUCGGUGCCCUCAACUCCUCUUUGAGAAGCCAGAAACCAUUUGGCAUGAGCCUCCUAUCCCCUGCCCCGUCUCCCUCCCCCGCUGGGAGAGGGUCCCUCCUUGCAGCCAAGCCCAGUAGUACCACAUGUAUGUACAGGGUCCCACCCAUCCUGGCCCUCCAGUGAGCCCGCUCUGCCACUUACCCCCUGCCAGAUCCUCUCACUUUGGCUGCUUCCCCUCAUUCCGUAAGUGCAGCUGUCCUCCAGAAGUGACAGCUAACUUCUCCACACCCCGCUGCCUCUCGUCUUCCUUUGCGCCCAAACCUCUCAGAGGAGUACACCUGCGCUAGUCUCCACCUCCCUGCUUCCCUUUCACCCCUGGCAGUCUGGCCCAGUCCCCCUCUGACACCCCUCCGCAAGGUCUCCAGUGACACCCACAUCUCCCCAUCUAGGGCGGCCUGCCAGUCCUUAUCUAGCCUGACCUCUCUGCCUCACCCAGAACCUCUGGACCUUUUCCUUCCCCCUCUCGGAGCACUUUCUUUUCCUGCUUGUCCUGCUGGCUACCCUCCCUCCACCGGCCUCUUAAACGAGGGAGAGUUUGGGCUUCUAGAUUGGCUCUUGUCACUUCUCACACUACACGACCUCCCUCAGUGCUCUCUCUGAGAGACACCAAGGGUGGUGGGGAGAAUAUCAGCCAGACAGCCCCAAGUUUAAAUCCCAGCCCCAUCUAAGGGUAAGCUCGGGCAAGUCGCUUCACUCCUUUGAACUUCACCUUCCUCAUCUGGAAAACAGGGAGGAUAAAAUUCCAACCUUUGGAAUUUGGGUUGCUGCAGUGUUACUGGUGACGGCUUGUGGAAGACCCAGCACAAAGGUGGGCAGCCGCUAGUAGGCCACCUAGGAGGGCAUCACGGUCCAGCCCCCACCGACAUGCUGAUGGCCCUCAAAUCUAUAGCCCAACCCAGCUUUUUGUCUAGUGUAAUUAUGUAUGUCCGGUUUGCAGAUCUAUAGCUCUUUAGCUCCCUCCUUUCUUUUCUAUCUAGUCUUAUAUUUCCACCUACUUAUAGAUACUGCCAAUAGUAUUUUUCAAGACCUCAAGCUGAACCUGCCCCCGACUGAACUCAUUGUUCCUCUCAACACUCUCCCCUGCCCUGUCUUCUUCCUCCCAUCUCCAUCUUGAGGUUAAUGGUCUCAUAACCCACUUAGUGGUCCCGGCUGGAUUCCUUAGAGCCCUUCAUGACUCUGUCCUCCUCUCCAUCUAACAGGCCAUCAGAUCCUGAGGGUGCAACUUCCAAACCCUCCCUCAAAUCCACCCCUCCUCUCCAUCCCUCUUGCUGCUGCCAUAGUUCAGGCACUUGCUCUGUAUCCUAGGGACCAUUGUCUGGUACAGCCAAGUCCUAACUCCUUGGCACGGCAUACGUGUUCCUCUGUGCCAGUCCUGAGUCUCUCUCUCCAAUGACAUGUCCUUUUUCUCUUCUGAGUCACAAGCACCAUGUUCUUGUCAGCUGGAAAGCCACUACUACCUUUUAAGAUCCAGCUUAAAUGGUACCUUGUUUGUGAAGUCUUCUUACUUCCCCAGCAAACUUGGAGCUCAGUGGUCCUUGAAACCUACCCCAGUGAUGGCCCUGGCCAGGCUGUACGGUAAUAGUCUGCUUAUCUUCCACUAGUCUGUCAAACCUUUGAGGGCAAGACCCAUAUGGGUCACUACUAAAUCCCCAAUCCCAAGCAUAUUUCUGGCACAUAGUUGUGCUCAAUGAAUGUUUGUUGAAUGACUGAAAGAAUCAAGGAGUGGUGAGUUCAUGCAAACCCCACGAAGAAGUAGAGCAUUCCCUGACCUCGUCUCCCUGUCUCCACCAGUCUGAGGGUGCUUCAGGUUGCCUAAAGGACCAAAGGAAGCAGAGGUUGUGGAGUGGAGGGCAGUGUGGAAACCCUAAGCUGAAGAAAGACCAUGGAGAUGCAGGGGACCUGGGGGGACUCUGGCCAGACACUCUCGGAUUCUGGAAGACAAAGAGGCAUAGCUAGACCCUUCCAAGCCAGAGCUCAGGAUCUCCCCAAAGGUCUAGAGAGUUGGGUGAUGGCAGCCUGGAUAAAGAGCCAGAGGCAGGAGACUGGGCAAGAAGCAGCUUGAGUGAGCAAAGGCCUGGGCCAAAGCAGCUGGAGAGGGGUCCACAGGCAGCUCGCAUCUGAACUCUAAGGAGGCAGACCCAGGAGGCAGAACCCUGACUGAGGCCAUUUAAAAGUCCCUGGGGGGUUCUCUGCCACCUCAUCAAAGAUCUUUCCUAUUGGUUCUUAAAAUGCCAUCAUUAGAGAGUUACUUCUUUGAGCUAAACCUUAUGUUCUUUGGCCCCUAAUACAAAUAUCCUCAUGAGAGAGGAUGACAGGAUUAAGACUUUGCCAGUUAAAACUUCAGUUAUCAGUUGACGCCUUAACAAAUGUGUCUGAGUGGCAGAGGAGGGGGCUAUAGGAACUUUCAUAAUGAACUUCCAAACUUUGCUGAGAGCUGGCUUGGCUUCCCUCCCCCAGAUCCCUACUGGUUUUCCACCCCAGAGGAGAAGAUGGAGAGGUGGAGAAGGACCUCUUUAUCUACCAAUAUCAUAUCAUUCUUUUUUUUUUUUUUUUAUACAAAGUCUCACUCUG